UGGCAGUGAUGACUAUCUUAGGACACCUUUGGAAUAACCAUGAAAAAAACCAAACAAUCUUUUUCUGAGCCAU
This is a small nucleolar RNA of Chroicocephalus ridibundus (black-headed gull), 73 nucleotides long. RefSeq annotates it as small nucleolar RNA SNORD58. Lineage: Eukaryota; Metazoa; Chordata; Aves; Charadriiformes; Laridae. The transcript has a single exon. The record is from RefSeq and is a predicted model, not a curated record.